AGUGAACGCUGGCGGUAGGCCUAACACAUGCAAGUAGAACGGCAGCACAGUAAGAGCUUGCUCUUACGGGUGGCGAGUGGCGGACGGGUGAGGAAUACAUCGGAAUCUACUUUUUCGUGGGGGAUAACGUAGGGAAACUUACGCUAAUACCGCAUACGACCUACGGGUGAAAGCAGGGGAUCUUCGGACCUUGCGCGAUUGAAUGAGCCGAUGUCGGAUUAGCUAGUUGGCGGGGUAAAGGCCCACCAAGGCGACGAUCCGUAGCUGGUCUGAGAGGAUGAUCAGCCACACUGGAACUGAGACACGGUCCAGACUCCUACGGGAGGCAGCAGUGGGGAAUAUUGGACAAUGGGCGCAAGCCUGAUCCAGCCAUACCGCGUGGGUGAGGAAGGCCUUCGGGUUGUAAAGCCCUUUUGUUGGGAAAGAAAAGCAGCAGGUUAAUACCCCGCUGUUCUGACGGUACCCAAAGAAUAAGCACCGGCUAACUUCGUG
This 492-nucleotide ribosomal RNA is filed under the name uncultured bacterium. RNAcentral's name for it is "partial 16S ribosomal RNA". It matches the Rfam family "Bacterial small subunit ribosomal RNA", at positions 29 to 507 of the family's 1533-position model. The record is from RNAcentral.